This 587-nucleotide long non-coding RNA is filed under the name Apteryx rowi (Okarito brown kiwi). RNAcentral describes it as "lncRNA (ENSARWG00000012873.1)". The record is from RNAcentral. Lineage: Eukaryota; Metazoa; Chordata; Aves; Apterygiformes; Apterygidae.
CGGGCGAGAGGCGGCCGCUCCGCCGGGCAGCGCGGGCGGGGGGACCGCGGUGACGGAAAGCAGCAGCUGAAGGCGACGGCAGCGGCUGGGUUGACUUCCUCCCCCCGGUCGGAGGAAGAUGGAGCUCGGUUAGCAAGGGCUUGCGGGAGGUGCAGCGGGAGCAGGACAGUGAUACUCCAGAGCUUCAAAAUCGGAAGUAAAAUCAGCUGGACAGUUGCCUGCUGCUUUCAUAAAUAGGGAGAAAGCGGCAUUACUGGUGUGGAUGCCUGCCAUGUUUGCUUCACCAGAAUGAGAUAGGGCAUGCAGGAGAGAAGGGAUAUUUCUGCAAGUAGAAGCUGCCAUGAUUUCUCAGGGGACACAAUUUUGCUUAUUUGUACCUUCUACUGUGGCAAAAAUGGAUUAUUUUCCUCACCAAAAACCAGCGGUAUAAUGCGCAUCUGACACAUGCCUCAAGGAAAUCUUAUUUAAAGUCUGUUGAAAGAGUCAGAAUCAUGGAAAAAGAGGCAAGACCAAGGAGGGUGCUAGAUAUCAAAAACCAAAGGAAAAAGAUGACAAUGUCACAAGCUGUAUUGCAUCUUCCCAUUAAA